GAAGGUAUGGCUCACUUGGUAGAGCACUUGCCUAGCAAGCAAAAGGCCUUGAGUUCAAGGGCCAGUACCGUUA
This 73-nucleotide transfer RNA is filed under the name Dipodomys ordii (Ord's kangaroo rat). It matches the Rfam family "tRNA". Rfam says of the family: Transfer RNA (tRNA) molecules are approximately 80 nucleotides in length. Their secondary structure includes four short double-helical elements and three loops (D, anti-codon, and T loops). The record is from Rfam by way of RNAcentral. Lineage: Eukaryota; Metazoa; Chordata; Mammalia; Rodentia; Heteromyidae.